CAGUCGCCUCGGGAAUACGAAGGGGGCUAGCGUUGUUCGGAAUUACUGGGCGUAAAGGGCGCGUAGGCGGCCAUUCAAGUUAGAUGUGAAAGCCCUGGGCUCAACCUAGGAAUUGCAUUUGAUACUGUUUGGCUUGAGUUCGGGAGAGGUGAGUGGAAUUCCCAGUGUAGAGGUGAAAUUCGUAGAUAUUCGGAAGAACACCAGUGGCGAAGGCGGCUUACUGGAUCAUUCUAGACGCUGAGGUGCGAAAGCGUGGGGAGCAAACAGGAUUAGAUACCCCUGUAGUCCCUGUCUCUUAUAA
Molecule: ribosomal RNA, 301 nt
Filed under: uncultured bacterium
Lineage: Bacteria
Description: partial 16S ribosomal RNA
Rfam family: Bacterial small subunit ribosomal RNA
Source: RNAcentral